AGAGUUUGAUCCUGGCUCAGAAUGAACGCUGGCGGCAUGCCUAACACAUGCAAGUCGAACGAGACCUUCGGGUCUAGUGGCGCACGGGUGCGUAACGCGUGGGAAUCUGCCCCUUGGUUCGGAAUAACAGUUGGAAACGACUGCUAAUACCGGAUGAUGACGUAAGUCCAAAGAUUUAUCGCCGAGGGAUGAGCCCGCGUAGGAUUAGGUAGUUGGUGUGGUAAAGGCGUACCAAGCCGACGAUCCUUAGCUGGUCUGAGAGGAUGAUCAGCCACACUGGGACUGAGACACGGCCCAGACUCCUACGGGAGGCAGCAGUGGGGAAUAUUGGACAAUGGGCGAAAGCCUGAUCCAGCAAUGCCGCGUGAGUGAUGAAGGCCUUAGGGUUGUAAAGCUCUUUUACCCGGGAUGAUAAUGACAGUACCGGGAGAAUAAGCUCCGGCUAACUCCGUGCCAGCAGCCGCGGUAAUACGGAGGGAGCUAGCGUUAUUCGGAAUUACUGGGCGUAAAGCGCACGUAGGCGGCUUUGUAAGUAAGAGGUGAAAGCCCAGAGCUCAACUCUGGAAUUGCCUUUUAGACUGCAUCGCUUGAAUCAUGGAGAGGUCAGUGGAAUUCCGAGUGUAGAGGUGAAAUUCGUAGAUAUUCGGAAGAACACCAGUGGCGAAGGCGGCUGACUGGACAUGUAUUGACGCUGAGGUGCGAAAGCGUGGGGAGCAAGCAGGAUUAGAUACCCUAGUAGUCC
RNAcentral lists this ribosomal RNA (742 nucleotides) under uncultured bacterium. Its description in RNAcentral is "bacterial SSU rRNA". It matches the Rfam family "Bacterial small subunit ribosomal RNA", at positions 8 to 796 of the family's 1533-position model. The record is from RNAcentral.